RNAcentral lists this transfer RNA (73 nucleotides) under Musa acuminata subsp. malaccensis (wild Malaysian banana). It matches the Rfam family "tRNA". Rfam says of the family: Transfer RNA (tRNA) molecules are approximately 80 nucleotides in length. Lineage: Eukaryota; Viridiplantae; Streptophyta; Magnoliopsida; Zingiberales; Musaceae. The record is from Rfam by way of RNAcentral.
UGGGGUGUAGCUCAUUUGGUAGAGCAUUCGCUUUGCAUAUGAGAGGCAUGGGGUUCAAUUUCUUACACCUUUA